CUCAGUACGUAGGCCCGGCCAUGAGCAUAAAAAUAAACGCUGAGUAGGGAACUCCAAAGGAAACGGAAGGCACAGGAGGCUUUUUUUCCUCUUAUAAACAUGUGAACUAUUUUAUAGCAGAUAUAGAAAGGGGUGGGAGGGAGUGCUGGCUAACUUCCUUGAGAAAGAAGAGCAGCAGCAGUAGCCGUUCAUUGAAUAUUUACAAGUGCCAGGUACCAUCCUAAUGACUCUUCUCUACAGGCUUUAGUGCAUUUCGUUCCCACGCAGCUCUUGAAGGUGGGUGGUUGUCAUGGGCUGAGUCGUGUCUCGCCCCACAAAUUCACAUUUUGUAGCCCUAAUUCCCAGAACCUCAGAAUGGGACUGUAUUUGGGGAUAGGGCCUUUAAAGAGGUAAUUCAGUUAAAAUGAGGUUCCUAGGACGGGCUCUAAUGCCAUGUGAUUGGUGUCUCAUAAGAAGAGGGAAUCUGGGGAAUUCCCCGGCGGUCCAGGGGUUAAGAAUCCGCAGGGGGCACGGGUUCCACCCCUGGUUGGGAAACUAAGAUCCUGCAUGCCAAAAAAAGAAGAAGAAAAGAAAAAGGAAAUCCAGAGGGGGGACCACGUGAAGACACAGCAGGAAAGACCUCAGAAUAAAUCAACCCUGCCAACACCUGCAUCUCAGACUUUUAGCUUCCAGACGUAUGUGGAAAACCGAGGAUCACGGUCACCUGCUAAGCUUGUGCAACCAGUCGUGGAGCCAGCGGACAGACUCCAAAGCCCAGGCUUCUCUUGGCAACCGCCUUUCUACUUGUUCCCUGUGAAUUUGACUCCUCCGGGUACUUCAUGACAGAAGCUCAAGCCUCAUUUCUCAGGUAAGGAGCGAAUGAACUACCCAUCCAGCUGCUCUGCCAAAACAAGACAGAAGACCCAGUAAUGUGCCAGCUUGGGGGGAGGGGGUCUCAUCUGCUUUCCCCCAUCAAUGUGCUGGGCGUCCCAGUGACAUCCGAUGACAGCUGGGGUGGACCUGCAGCUGCCUGACCCCACCCCACCCCGGUGAACCUCAGCCCAUGGUCAAGCUGUAACGUCAAACAGCUAAUGUUCUGGUGAUGUCAGUUCUUAUUCUUCCCAUCUCUUUCCCUCAAGAAUGCCUAAUCUCUCACCAUCUAUAAGGUUUCCCAUUAUAGAGCGCUGCAGAACGUACUGGUUUGAAAGAGCUCUGAACUUGAGAUGCUGAAGUGCGAUCAUUAUCUCAUCAAGCUUCUCCCCCAAAGAGGACUGCCAGCACACAGACUCUUAAGCAUCCUCAAUUCAUCCCUUCUUCUAUCCCAAAGGGAAAGGAAUCACCAUUUAUUCUUAUUUCUAACAUGCUGAAAGCUGCCCUGAUGAUAAAAUGAUCUGCUAAGGAGUUGAGGUGACGUGGGGAGGCUUUGCAGGAUUAUAGCUUGGAUGGGCUGGGAGACCCUCAGGUGAGGCACAUUUUGGUGAAACUCCCAGUUACUGAGUUAAGGUUGGGGAUU
Molecule: long non-coding RNA, 1492 nt
Organism: Balaenoptera acutorostrata (minke whale)
Lineage: Eukaryota; Metazoa; Chordata; Mammalia; Artiodactyla; Balaenopteridae
Exons: 4
Source: RefSeq, a predicted model, not a curated record